Molecule: long non-coding RNA, 1704 nt
Organism: Cryptotermes secundus
Lineage: Eukaryota; Metazoa; Arthropoda; Insecta; Blattodea; Kalotermitidae
Exons: 3
Source: RefSeq, a predicted model, not a curated record
ACUCAUUUUUUUAGUCGUGUUUUUGGUCUCCGCGUUUUCGUUGAGAAAAUCUUGAUUAUGGAUUGUCUUGAGCUUUGGGGAAUUGUUCCUAUUACCGUGCAUUUGUUAAAUAAGUCGGUCCACGCGCAAAUGAAGUGUGAUUUAGAUGCUUUGAGGCGUCCAGAGUAGAAGUUGUCAGAUGCUGAGUCUUUUCUGUCUUAAUGCUAGAGGUGCCAGAUGAAGGCAUGUGGUUAUGUCAUGACAUCCAUCAUUCAGAAUGUCAUCAGUACAUGAAACACACAGCACAUUUCAAUAUACUCAACGAUCAAACAGUGAAGAAGAACGGCUUGCAAAGUUGCAUAGAAUCUUGCACUCAUUAGCAACCCGAAUCCCACGGGUUUUACUGAAGAGAGUUGAAGAAGUAUACCCAGCACUGAAUUUGAAUGUGAAAGAAAAUUCUGGACCUGGGAGUACAUUAGUGAGCAACGCAGAAUGUGAAACUGAAGAACAUAAAUGUGUUCCAAAGAAUUUUACUCAGCGUGUAGAAUCAGAACCAGAAAACAGGAAUGAGGAAUCCAGAAGCUUUGAUAAAUGCAGAAAAAUAAAACGUGAAUUACAAAAAUGUAAAAAAGACAGGCGUUACUCGUGUGACUUUUGUAACAAGAAGUUAACUAAACAUUACCUCAAAAGACACAUGCUGUACCACACUGGCAGCCUGCCCUACACCUGUACAGUGUGUUCAAGACAGUUUCCCUUCAACUCGAAUCUGAGGUUACAUUACCAAAGAAAACAUAGGAUGAAGUAGUAAUGGGACUGAUACAUCAAACACAGGAACCAGAUUCACAGUUUACUCAGAAGACAAAGUUCCCUCUUACAAAAAUGUAAAAAAGACGGGCGUUACUCGUGUGACUUUUGUAACAAGAAGUUAACUAAACAUUACCUCAAAAGACACAUGCUGUACCACACUGGCAGCCUGCCCUACACCUGUACAGUGUGUUCAAGACAGUUUCCCUUCAACUCGAAUCUGAGGUUACAUUACCAAAGAAAACAUAGGAUGAAGUAGUAAUGGGACUGAUACAUCAAACACAGGAACCAGAUUCACAGUUUACUCAGAAGACAAAGUUCCCUCUUAGUUUUCGUAUCCUUAAGCCAAAUUGCUUUAGACAAACGAUAAUACUCAUGAUGACAAAUGGAGAUGAAUUUUACGAAAAACAUUGAAAAGUUGACAGAGUAAACUAUUUUAUCCCCGAAUGCUGAGUGACAAGUAGAGCACUAUCUGCUGUGUUGUGAAGCCGUGUAGACUGGUAGGGUCACAGAGUAAGACCACUAGGUUCUGCUUGCUUGCUUUGCAGGUCUCGCCCUUUGACCUUGAAGAUGGAUGCAGUGUGUUCCUUGUACUAGGCUGCAUGGUAUCACAUCUUCAUAGUCACCAUUGUGAGAAUAUCAGAUCUCAGACAUGUUGGGAACUUUCUGAUAUUCUGUUUUUGUUAAUCAUAUUUAUGUUUAUAUUCAGUAAUUUUUUUUUUUGAGGCUUUAUGUUGGGAUGACCACAAAGAUCGCUUGAAAGACUAUGUUACGAAGUUGCAUAUGAUUGGACUUUGUUUGUACAACUUAAGACUGAUGUUGAAACUUAUCUGUUUUGUCUUGAACAGUAUCAAUGAAGUCUGAUAAUAAGACUACAUGCCAGUGAUAUAUAUAUAUAUGUAUAGAAUAUGAGCAAAUUUA